Molecule: non-coding RNA, 112 nt
Organism: Acanthosepion pharaonis
Lineage: Eukaryota; Metazoa; Mollusca; Cephalopoda; Sepiida; Sepiidae
Source: the annotation of a GenBank genome assembly
UUCGUCCAUAUCACGUUAAGACACCGGUUCCACUACGAUCACCGAAGUUAAGCAACAUCGAGCAUGGUCAGUAUCUAGAUAGGCGACUCCUUGAGAAUACCAGGUGCUGAAA